This 895-nucleotide ribosomal RNA is filed under the name Staphylococcus sp. R-23208. RNAcentral's name for it is "bacterial SSU rRNA". It matches the Rfam family "Bacterial small subunit ribosomal RNA", at positions 28 to 904 of the family's 1533-position model. Lineage: Bacteria; Bacillati; Bacillota; Bacilli; Caryophanales; Staphylococcaceae. The record is from RNAcentral.
GAUGAACGCUGGCGGCGUGCCUAAUACAUGCAAGUCGAGCGAACAGACGAGGAGCUUGCUCCUCURACGUUAGCGGCGGACGGGUGAGUAACACGUGGAUAACCUACCUAUAAGACUGGGAUAACUUCGGGAAACCGGAGCUAAUACCGGAUAAUAUAUUGAAYCGCAUGGUUCAAUAGUGAAAGACGGUUUUGCUGUCACUUAUAGAUGGAUCCGCGCCGCAUUAGCUAGUUGGUAAGGUAACGGCUUACCAAGGCAACGAUGCGUAGCCGACCUGAGAGGGUGAUCGGCCACACUGGAACUGAGACACGGUCCAGACUCCUACGGGAGGCAGCAGUAGGGAAUCUUCCGCAAUGGGCGAAAGCCUGACGGAGCAACGCCGCGUGAGUGAUGAAGGUCUUCGGAUCGUAAAACUCUGUUAUUAGGGAAGAACAAAUGUGUAAGUAACUAUGCACGUCUUGACGGUACCUAAUCAGAAAGCCACGGCUAACUACGUGCCAGCAGCCGCGGUAAUACGUAGGUGGCAAGCGUUAUCCGGAAUUAUUGGGCGUAAAGCGCGCGUAGGCGGUUYUUUAAGUCUGAUGUGAAAGCCCACGGCUCAACCGUGGAGGGUCAUUGGAAACUGGAAAACUUGAGUGCAGAAGAGGAAAGUGGAAUUCCAUGUGUAGCGGUGAAAUGCGCAGAGAUAUGGAGGAACACCAGUGGCGAAGGCGACUUUCUGGUCUGUAACUGACGCUGAUGUGCGAAAGCGUGGGGAUCAAACAGGAUUAGAUACCCUGGUAGUCCACGCCGUAAACGAUGAGUGCUAAGUGUUAGGGGGUUUCCGCCCCUUAGUGCUGCAGCUAACGCAUUAAGCACUCCGCCUGGGGAGUACGACCGCAAGGUUGAAACUCAA